GUCCACGCCGUAAACGAUGAAUGCUAGGUGUUAGGGGUUUCGAUACCCUUGGUGCCGAAGUUAACACAUUAAGCAUUCCGCCUGGGGAGUACGGUCGCAAGACUGAAACUCAAAGGAAUUGACGGGGACCCGCACAAGCAGUGGAGUAUGUGGUUUAAUUCGAAGCAACGCGAAGAACCUUACCAGGUAUUGACAUCCCCCUGAAUACGGUAGAGAUAUCGUAGGCCUUCGGGACAGGGAGACAGGUGGUGCAUGGUUGUCGU
RNAcentral lists this ribosomal RNA (263 nucleotides) under uncultured bacterium. RNAcentral's name for it is "partial 16S ribosomal RNA". It matches the Rfam family "Bacterial small subunit ribosomal RNA", at positions 793 to 1055 of the family's 1533-position model. The record is from RNAcentral.